Molecule: ribosomal RNA, 433 nt
Filed under: uncultured bacterium
Lineage: Bacteria
Description: partial 16S ribosomal RNA
Rfam family: Bacterial small subunit ribosomal RNA
Source: RNAcentral
GCGAACGCUGGCGGCAGGCCUAACACAUGCAAGUCGAACGAACCUUUCGGGGUUAGUGGCGGACGGGUGAGUAACACGUGGGAACGUGCCUUUAGGUUCGGAAUAACUCAGGGAAACUUGUGCUAAUACCGAAUGUGCCCUUCGGGGGAAAGAUUAAUCGCCUUUAGAGCGGCCCGCGUCUGAUUAGCUAGUUGGUUGAGGUAAUGGCUCACCAAGGCGACGAUCAGUAGCUGGUCUGAGAGGAUGAUCAGCCACAUUGGGACUGAGACACGGCCCGAACUCCUACGGGAGGCAGCAGUGGGAAAUCUUGCGCAAUGGGCGAAAGCCUGACGCAGCCAUGCCGCGUGAAUGAUGAAGGUCUUAGGAUUGUAAAAUUCUUUCACCGGGGACGAUAAUGACGGUACCCGGAGAAGAAGCCCCGGCUAACUUCGUG